CGGACGGGUGAGUAACGCGUGAGAAUCUGGCUUCAGGUCUGGGACAACCACUGGAAACGGUGGCUAAUACCGGAUGUGCCGAAAGGUGAAAGGUUAACUGCCUGAAGAUGAGCUCGCGUCUGAUUAGCUAGUUGGAAGUGUGAUGGACUCCCAAGGCGACGAUCAGUAGCUGGUCUGAGAGGACGAUCAGCCACACUGGGACUGAGACACGGCCCAGACUCCUACGGGAGGCAGCAGUGGGGAAUUUUCCGCAAUGGGCGAAAGCCUGACGGAGCAAUACCGCGUGAGGGAGGAAGGCUCUUGGGUCGUAAACCUCUUUUCUCAGGGAGGAACACAAUGACGGUACCUGAGGAAUAAGCAUCGGCUAACUCCGUGCCAGCAGCCGCGGUAAUACGGAGGAUGCAAGCGUUAUCCGGAAUGAUUGGGCGUAAAGCGUCCGCAGGUGGCAAUGUAAGUCUGCUGUUAAAGAGUCUAGCUCAACUAGAUAAGAGCAGUGGAAACUACAUAGCUAGAGUACGUUCGGGGCAGAGGGAAUUCCUGGUGUAGCGGUGAAAUGCGUAGAGAUCAGGAAGAACACCAGUGGCGAAGGCGCUCUGCUAGGCCGUAACUGACACUGAGGGACGAAAGCUAGGGGAGCGAAUGGGAUUAGAUACCCCAGUAGUC
Molecule: ribosomal RNA, 663 nt
Filed under: uncultured cyanobacterium
Lineage: Bacteria; Bacillati; Cyanobacteriota
Description: bacterial SSU rRNA
Rfam family: Bacterial small subunit ribosomal RNA
Source: RNAcentral